GUCGGGAUGUAUAAGUACCGGGCCACGUCCACUUGUAUUUUUGUCCAUCUGAUGAGUUAACCUUUUUCAACUGAGUUUUAUAGUUCGUUCUUAUGUUUUACUGUUAUACCACUGUCCCAUGUUAGGGGGAGGGUUGGGAUCCCGCUAACAUGUUUAACCCCGCCACAUUAUUUAUGUAUGUGCCUGUCCCAAGUCAGGAGCCUGUAAUUCAGUGGUUGUCGUUUGUUUAUGUGUUACAUAUUUGUUUUUCGUUCAUUUUUUUUUACAUAAAUAAGGCCGUUAGUUUUCUCGUUUGAAUUGUUUUACAUUGUCUUAUCGGGGCCUUUUAUAAUAGCUGACUAUGCGGUAUGGGCUUUGCUCAUUGUUGAAGGCUGUACGGUGACCUAUAGUUGUUAAUGUCUAUGUCAUUUUGGUCUUUUGUGGAUAGUUGUCUCAUUGGCAAUCAUACCACAUCUUCUUCGGCUAUUGUCUGCUCUUUGGUCUCUUUGAUAUAUUCCCUAUUUCUAUUCUCAAUGUUAAAUAUAUAAUUUGUCAAAAUAUGACAGACGAAUAGCUGCAAUGCCCUACACCCUCAAAGUGUAUCAAUAUUGGUGCCGGAUAUGUUACUUUGGCUGGAAAUCUCGUUAAAUACAAAGAACUUCCAUGUUUACCGUCUACGACCCAUCUGUAUACACAAUAUGAUGGCAGGGGUCUUCCACGUACUACGUACAAAAACAAUGCCACAUGGCAUAAGACCUGCCAUCUAAACACAGAACUAAAGAGAGCUAAAAUAAGACAUCAAAAGGAUACAGAUGAUAUGUAAAAAAAAAACAGGCAAUCGGAGCUGGAAACCCCACCCGCACCGUCAAUGUGUACAAAUGCUUCAGUACACAACUUUAUUAGAGAAG
Molecule: long non-coding RNA, 887 nt
Filed under: Mytilus galloprovincialis (Mediterranean mussel)
Lineage: Eukaryota; Metazoa; Mollusca; Bivalvia; Mytilida; Mytilidae
Source: RNAcentral